GAUGAACGCUGGCGGCGUGCUUAACACAUGCAAGUCGAACGAAGCAUUUAAGACAGAUUACUUCGGUUUGAAGUUUUUUAUGACUGAGUGGCGGACGGGUGAGUAACGCGUGGGUAACCUGCCUCAUACAGGGGGAUAGCAGCUGGAAACGGCUGGUAAUACCGCAUAAGCGCACAGUACCACAUGGUACAGUGUGAAAAACUCCGGUGGUAUGAGAUGGAACCGCGUCUGAUUAGCUGGUUGGCGGGGUAACGGCCCACCAAGGCGACGAUCAGUAGCCGACCUGAGAGGAUGACCGGCCGCAUUGGGACUGGGACACGGCCCAGACUCCUACGGGAGGCAGCAGUGGGGAAUAUUGCACAAUGGAGGAAACUCUGAUGCAGCGACGCAGCGUGAGUGAAGAAGUAGUUCGCUAUGUAAAGCUCUAUCAGCAGGGAAGAUAGUGACGGUACCUGACUAAGAAGCUCCGGCUAAAUACGUGCCAGCCGCCGCGGUAA
This 497-nucleotide ribosomal RNA is filed under the name uncultured bacterium. RNAcentral describes it as "partial 16S ribosomal RNA". It matches the Rfam family "Bacterial small subunit ribosomal RNA", at positions 28 to 523 of the family's 1533-position model. The record is from RNAcentral.